UUAUACAAUAUAUUUUCACUAACUUUUGAGCUAAUAGACAUUUAAAAGUCACCAAAUUUGGAAUACAAAGUAUUUUAAAUGACAUCCCAAGUCAUAUAAGAGAUUGGUUCAGCCUACGCUUUCUGUUCAAAACCCAGUAGUUAAUGCUAUUAGCAUUCAAAAUGCCUUUUUUUCCUUUUAAAAAGGACAGUUAAACCUGUUAUUUUUUAUCCUGCAGCCAGUUCUUAGCACAAAAGCAGGCAGAUUUUAGUAGCACAAAAUUAUUUAUUAGCUUAUGCCUCUACCAGAAAACAGAAAUGUUGGCUUAAAAUUGUUUCAUUGAUGUAACUUUUACCUUUUCCUUUACAGAUAUUCAUUUAUUCAUUCUGGCCCUAAUACCAAGGUAUCCUUCACACAAAAGAUUCAAACAGAUUCUUUGCAUCUUUACCAAUGGGAGUUUCAUGUUUUCAAGUUUUUGUUUGUUUGUUUGUUUGUUUUUUGUUUGGAGGCCUCUUUCCAAGCACUCUAGUAUUCUUAAAAUCCUGAGAUUCUGAAUGGUAUGAUUUAGCUCAAUAUGUUUAUACUAAACUUAGGGGAAAAAAACUAAUAUAUUUUCCUUACCCAUCACAAGGUUUAUGCUGAGACUUCAAUAACAAAAAACAGACUAACAAGAGAAAAGCAUGCACAUUUAUUUUAUCCAAGUUUUACAUGACAUGGGAACUUUCAGAAACGAAAACCCAAAGAAAUGGGGACAUUUGUGUAGUUGUAUAGACAGUCAGGCAGAUGUAUGAUUGCAAGGACAAAAGUGUAUGAGCUAACGGUGAUAAACUGAGAAGUUGGAAAGGCCUGUCUAUUCAGUUUCUUCUUGGCAUACCUGUGUGGCAGUCCCUCCCUCAGGGCAUAGGAGAGGAUGCCUGUUAUAUAAGGGGCCUCAGAUGAAGGAGGGAGAAGGAGGGAGCAGGUCAGAGAGUGACCUUCCUAGAUUUUGUGGCCUGCUUCAGGGAAGAAGGGGCGAGGGGAACUCUAGUUUCUAUGGCCUGCUUCAGGGCAGAAAGGAGCAAGAGGUCAGAGAAACCUUCCUGUUUCUGCUAUUUUCUCAAUUUCCAAGGUGCCAUAUUUUGGGGUGGCAUUUCCUGUACCCUGUCAUAUACAAACUCAUUUUUAGACAGCGGCCUUUAGUUCCUCCUGAGGUUAAACCAGAGCUGCUCAAGGAAUAUACCUACUAAAUCUUCUUGCUCCAUUUAAGAUAUUUAUUUCAAAUGCAAAUAAUUAUACCAUACCCUUUGGCCUAGUCAGCACUGAUUCACUAUUUCAAAGCUUUACAUUUAAGCCUCAUAAUAACCGUACGAAGCAGAUCUAGCUACUUCCAUGUUACAGAAGAAGAACCUGUGGCACACAGAGGUUGAGCAGCUGCCCCAAAGCCUCACAGAAUGUGGCAGACUGGAGAAUUCAACGCAGAACUCUUACCCAGCCCCAUAUGCUGCCUUGGCCUCCAUCUGGUAUGACCACAGAAAUGGAGAGCUGGAGGAAGGAAUUUCAACUCUGCUUCAGAACCUUAAAUGAAGCAGGAAGCUGUAGAGGGGCACAAAGCUACAAAGCUGCUCCAAAGCUGUCUCCUCCAACACAAAGCAGAAAUUGUGUUCCCAGCAUCCAUUUCUGUUACCCUUACUUGGACUUGAGAAGCUGUAUCAAUCAAGAUGUAGUGUGGUGGGAGAGGGACUCAGUGCAUGACUGAUACCCAGCCAAGCAGGGCCAGGCAGCUUUAGAAAUGCCCACACUGGGGAAUUGAACAAUGAGAACACAUGGACACAAGAAGGGGAACAUCACACACCAGGGGC
This 1817-nucleotide long non-coding RNA is filed under the name Homo sapiens (human). RNAcentral describes it as "HSALNT0103812". Lineage: Eukaryota; Metazoa; Chordata; Mammalia; Primates; Hominidae. The record is from RNAcentral.